Molecule: ribosomal RNA, 297 nt
Filed under: uncultured prokaryote
Description: partial 16S ribosomal RNA
Rfam family: Bacterial small subunit ribosomal RNA
Source: RNAcentral
GUGCGGUGUCAGCCGCCGCGGUAAUACGGAGGGUGCAAGCGUUAAUCGGAAUUACUGGGCGUAAAGGGCGCGUAGGCGGUUUGGUAAGCGAGUUGUGAAAGCCCCGGGCUCAACCUGGGAAUGGCAAUUCGAACUGCCAGGCUAGAAUGCAGCAGAGGGCAGUGGAAUUCCAGGUGUAGCGGUGAAAUGCGUAGACAUCUGGAGGAACACCAGUGGCGAAGGCGACUGCCUGGGCUGACAUUGACGCUGAGGUGCGAAAGCGUGGGUAGCAAACAGGAUUAGAAACCCCAGUAGUCC